This 316-nucleotide unclassified non-coding RNA is filed under the name plant metagenome. RNAcentral's name for it is "partial contains 5.8S ribosomal RNA, internal transcribed spacer 2, and large subunit ribosomal RNA". The stretch from base 1 to 105 matches the Rfam family "5.8S ribosomal RNA", at positions 50 to 154 of the family's 154-position model. The record is from RNAcentral.
GAAAUGCGAUAACUAAUGUGAAUUGCAGAAUUCAGUGAAUCAUCGAGUCUUUGAACGCACAUUGCGCCCCCUGGUAUUCCGGGGGGCAUGCCUGUCCGAGCGUCAUUGCUGCCCUCAAGCCCGGCUUGUGUGUUGGGUCGCCGUCCCCCUCUCCGGGGGGACGGGCCCGAAAGGCAGCGGCGGCACCGCGUCCGAUCCUCGAGCGUAUGGGGCUUUGUCACAUGCUCUGUAGGAUUGGCCGGCGCCUGCCGUCGUUUUCCAACCAUUCUUUCCAGGUUGACCUCGGAUCAGGUAGGGAUACCCGCUGAACUUAAGC